This 723-nucleotide long non-coding RNA is filed under the name Homo sapiens (human). Its description in RNAcentral is "long independently transcribed non-coding RNA 2411 (LINC02411)". The record is from RNAcentral. Lineage: Eukaryota; Metazoa; Chordata; Mammalia; Primates; Hominidae.
AGGUCAGACCAGGAAGACAGAGGCCAAACCCAGCAUCACACUUUGACCUGCCCGGGAACACAGUGGCUCCUGGGAAAUAACCACUAAAGUCUUGAAAUGUCUUGAGUGAUUGGAGGACCUUUAUUUUUCACGCCUGAUGCCUUAUGCUGAUGAGAUGACUCAGCAGGGGAUGGCCAGGCCAGAAAGACCAAAACUGUAUCCUGAGGUUUGAGUUUCUGAGCCAGGUGAUGUCAUCCUCCAGCUUGGCCGGCCUCUUUCUGGGAGCCUCUGGUGUGAAAGAGAGCAGAUUUAUUAAAAAUCAUCAACUUCAAAUUAUUUGGAUGGAAACAUUGCCAAAUCAUAGAGAUGUUUGCUACCACCCGCACACCAAGCAGCUGGGUAACUAGAAGUGCAGGAUCAGCUUAUUCACCUCCGAAAGCCUGCAUGCAACCACUGAGGCCGCCUCUAUUUUUUACAUAGUUCUACUUGGUGUAUGUAACCCCACAGAGAAACCUGGAAGAAUGCAUGAAACCUAGUAAGGCAACCAGCACAUGCAACAGAAUGAACCGUUUCUUUCCAUCUGAAUGCCUAAAUGUGGACUCUGAUCCUUUCUACCAAGUCCUAAGUUUGGGAAAAGAGGACAAGGACAGGGGCUCUGUCCCAUAUCAUAAUGUGCUUGUGAAUGGCUAAAAUUACAAUGCUGAGAUAAGUGUGUGUAAUAAAAUAAUUGCACCCCGAAUUGAA